This 368-nucleotide ribosomal RNA is filed under the name uncultured Nitrososphaeraceae archaeon. RNAcentral describes it as "bacterial SSU rRNA". It matches the Rfam family "Archaeal small subunit ribosomal RNA", at positions 93 to 463 of the family's 1478-position model. The record is from RNAcentral. Lineage: Archaea; Thermoproteati; Nitrososphaerota; Nitrososphaeria; Nitrososphaerales; Nitrososphaeraceae.
CUAACACGUAGUCAACAUGCCCAGGGGACGUGGAUAACCUCGGGAAACUGAGGAUAAACCGCGAUAGGCCAUGAUUUCUGGAAUGGUUCAUGGCCGAAAUCUAUAUGGCCCCUGGAUUGGACUGCGGCCGAUCAGGCUGUUGGUGAGGUAAUGGCCCACCAAACCUGUAACCGGUACGGGCUCUGAGAGGAGGAGCCCGGAGAUGGGCACUGAGACAAGGGCCCAGGCCCUAUGGGGCGCAGCAGGCGCGAAAUCUCUGCAAUAGGCGAAAGCUUGACAGGGUUACUCUGAGUGAUUCCCGCUAAGGGGAUCUUUUGGCACCUUUAAAAAUGGUGCAGAAUAAGGGGUGGGCAAGUCUGGUGCCAGCA